This 1323-nucleotide long non-coding RNA is filed under the name Phascolarctos cinereus (koala). RNAcentral's name for it is "lncRNA (ENSPCIG00000013734.2)". The record is from RNAcentral. Lineage: Eukaryota; Metazoa; Chordata; Mammalia; Diprotodontia; Phascolarctidae.
AUGGCGGCCCUUGGGCCACAAGAGAGGCCCGUGGUCUCUCUGUCUUUCCCUCUCUGUGUCUCUCUCUUUAUCUCUCAGUGUCUCUGUUUCUCUGUCUCUGUGUCUCUUUGUGUUUCUCUCUUUAUCUCUCACUGUCUGUCUCUGUCUUUGUCUCUGUCUUUGUCCCUGUCUCUGUGUCUCUCUGUGUCUGUGUGUGUCUGUGCCUGUGUCUCUCUCUGUCUCUCUGUGUCUCUGUCUCUGUCUCUCUGUCUCUGUGUCUAUGUCUCUAUGUCUCUAUCUCUGUGUCUGUGUGUCUCUAUCUGUCUCUAUCUCUGUGUCUGUCUGUCUCUGUCUGUCUCUGUCUGUCUCUGUCUCUCUCUGUGUCUACCUCUCUCUUGUCUCUGUGUCUGUCUCUCCCUGUCUCUAUGUCUGUCUCUCUCUAUUUCUGUGUCUAUCUCUCUGUCUCUGUGUAUCUCUCUGUCUCUGUCUCUGUUUCUCUCUCUGUGUCUGCCUCUUGUCUCUGUCUCUCUCUCUGUCUUUGUCUCUGUGUCUGUCUCUCUCUGUCUCUGUGUCUGUGUCUCUAUCUCUGUGUCUGUGUGUCUCUGUGUCUUUCUCUCUCUAUCUCUGUGUCUAUCUCUUGUCUCUGUGUCUCUCUCUGUCUCUAUCUCUGUUUUUGUCUCUGUGUCUGUCUCUGUCUCUGUGUCUGUGUCUCUAUCUCUGUGUCUCUGUGUCUCUCUCUAUCUCUGUGUCUAUCUCUCUCUGUCUCUGUGUGUCUUUCUCUCUCUCUGUGUCUGUGUCUCUCUCUGUCUCUGUCUGUCUCUCUGUUCAGGCACACUGGAUCCAGCUCCGCUGAGAGGCCCAGGGCUACACCCAACAGGAUAUGUUCUCUCCCUUCCUGCCCUACGUAAUAGGGUGGUGCCCCCACACUGGGUAAAUAUUGAGUCUUGUUCUGGAAAGCCAGUGACACUUCCUGGUGGUCCUUCUUAUGGUUUUUUUGGAGGCUUUUUUUUCAGGGGGAGGGGGCAAGAUCUGAAAACUGCUCCUUUAUUCCCAAGACAAAGCUACAUUGUGUGGAAGAAAUCAUCCCUAACCUGCGCAAGAAAGGUGAAUGCAGUGAGGAUAUGGUAUCUUUGACUGUCUCUGUGUGCCCUCCUGAUUUUAAACAAGCUUCUCUGCAGGAUCCUCCGCAUUUCAGUUAGAAGAUAAAACAUUUAGGAAGCAUGUUUCCCACAAUCCUUGGCCCUGCAGCCAGGAUCUGUUCAGAGUGUCCACAAAUAAUGGGAGGCCCAUAUUUGUCCUGCUGCCUUCAGGAAUAAACUGUCUUUUGGAGGAAGAAAAAACCCA